CUGCCUACGGGACGCAGCAGUGGGGAAUAUUGCACAAUGGGGGAAACCCUGAUGCAGCGACGCCGCGUGAGUGAAGAAGUAAUUCGUUACGUAAAGCUCUAUCAGCAGGGAAGAAAAUGACGGUACCUGAGUAAGAAGCCCCGGCUAACUACGUGCCAGCAGCCGCGGUAAUACGUAGGGAGCGAGCGUUGUCCGGAAUUACUGGGUGUAAAGGGAGCGUAGGCGGGACGGCAAGUCAGAUGUGAAAACUGAGGGCUCAACUUUCAGACUGCAUUUGAAACUGCUGUUCUUGAGUGAAGUAGAGG
This 305-nucleotide ribosomal RNA is filed under the name uncultured bacterium. Its description in RNAcentral is "bacterial SSU rRNA". It matches the Rfam family "Bacterial small subunit ribosomal RNA", at positions 335 to 657 of the family's 1533-position model. The record is from RNAcentral.